RNAcentral lists this transfer RNA (67 nucleotides) under Sinodasynus sp. RNAcentral describes it as "tRNA-Ile". The record is from RNAcentral. Lineage: Eukaryota; Metazoa; Arthropoda; Insecta; Hemiptera; Coreidae.
AAUAAAGUGCCUGAUAAAAGGGCUAUCUUGAUAGGAUAGAUCAUACAAAAUAGAAUUGUCUUUAUUA